AGAGAACUGAAUAUUAAUUUAUCAGGAAUUUUUAAGAGUUCAUGUUUUGUAGUGCAACCAAUAUGGAAAUCAAUAUCUAGGUGCCUCAAAAAACUAGGCAUGGAACCACCAUAUGACCAAGUUAUACGACUCCUCAUUAUUUAUACUGAAGAACUAAAGGCAUUUUAUGACUGUGAUACAUACAUACCCUUGUUUAAAGCAGCACAAUUCAAAAGAACUAAACUAUGAAGUCAACCUAGGUGUCCAUCAGCAGAUGAGUGGAUAAAUAAAAUGUGGUAUACAUGCACAAUGGAGUGUUAUUCAGUCACAAAGAAACAUGAAAUUAUGUCAUUUGCAGGAAAAUGGAUGGAACUUGAGACCAUCAUGUUAAGUGAAAUAAGCUAAGCUUGGGUGGUUAAGGACUGUACGUUUUCUCUCAUAUGUGGAAGCUAUAAAUAAAAAGGAAA
Molecule: long non-coding RNA, 446 nt
Filed under: Marmota monax (woodchuck)
Lineage: Eukaryota; Metazoa; Chordata; Mammalia; Rodentia; Sciuridae
Source: RNAcentral